AUUAAGAAGUCUGCUCCCGAGGGGCGGGGGCGGGAAGCCGCGAGAGCCCCGCCCCCGCCCCGACCCGACCACGCCCCCUUCCAAAAGCUUGCUGGGGCGCCCCCGGGGGUGGCUUGGGGAAGGCACUGGGAUCGGACGGUAGGGGUGGGAGGGGACUCCCCGGAAGACCCGGCAGGAAGAGGAACUUUGGCAGCCGGGCCGGUUCUAAUCACCUCCUCCUGGCCUGCGUCUGGGGCGCCUGUCACUACAGCUCUCUGCUCCAAGCUGCCCACAACUUGAAUCAUUUCAUCUUCACUUAGAACACUCAAUGGCUUCCCCCAGGAUAUAAAAACUCCAGCU
Ovis aries (sheep) is the source of this 339-nucleotide long non-coding RNA. The record is from Ensembl. NCBI's taxonomy places the organism in Eukaryota, Metazoa, Chordata, Mammalia, Artiodactyla, Bovidae.